AGAGUUUGAUCMUGGCUCAGAUUGAACGCUGGCGGUAUGCUUAACACAUGCAAGUCGAACGGUAGCAGGCCUUCGGGCGCUGACGAGUGGCGGACGGGUGCGUAACGCGUAGGAAUCUGCCUGUUAGUGGGGGACAACGUGGGGAAACUCACGCUAAUACCGCAUACGCCCUACGGGGGAAAGCGGGGGCUCUUMGGACCUCGCGCUAACAGAUGAGCCUGCGUUGGAUUAGCUAGUUGGUAGGGUAAAGGCCUACCAAGGCGACGAUCCAUAGCUGGUCUGAGAGGACGAUCAGCCACACUGGGACUGAGACACGGCCCAGACUCCUACGGGAGGCAGCAGUGGGGAAUAUUGGACAAUGGGCGCAAGCCUGAUCCAGCAAUACCGCGUGUGUGAAGAAGGCCUGAGGGUUGUAAAGCACUUUYAAUSGGGAGGAAYASCGGYCGGYKAAUACCCGGUCGYYUGACAUUACCKAUAGAARAAGCACCGGCUAACUCCGUGCCAGCAGCCGCGGUAAUACGGAGGGUGCRAGCGUUAAUCGGAAUUACUGGGCGUAAAGCGUGCGUAGGCGGUUGGUUAAGUCAGAUGUGAAAGCCCCGGGCUUAACCUGGGAACGGCAUUUGAAACUGAUCGACUAGAGUUGGGUAGAGGGGAGUGGAAUUUCAGGUGUAGCGGUGAAAUGCGUAGAUAUCUGAAGGAACACCAGUGGCGAAGGCGGCUCCCUGGACCCAAACUGACGCUGAGGCACGAAAGCGUGGGUAGCAAACAGGAUUAGAUACCCUGGUAGUCC
This 790-nucleotide ribosomal RNA is filed under the name uncultured bacterium. RNAcentral's name for it is "bacterial SSU rRNA". It matches the Rfam family "Bacterial small subunit ribosomal RNA", at positions 8 to 796 of the family's 1533-position model. The record is from RNAcentral.